UUAUCAUUAUUAAUGAUGAGUAAUGAUUUUUUAUACAGUGAACUGUUAUUAUAAUAUAACAAUUUAAUUAUUUCAUAAAAUUAUAUUAAUUGAAAAUUGUGUUCUUAUUUCCCAGUCCAUUUUAGUACUAACUGACAUCAAUAAUGGUAAGAAUUUAAAAAAUUGUUUUAAUAAUUAUUUUUAAAAACUAUUUAAUAUUUUCUAAUUUAAAUACAGCUCCAUCAUAUAAAAGUAAAAGAUUGGUAUGGCCAGAAGAAUUACCAAUUGGCGAUAGAAUUAAAAAUCAAUUAAAUUAUAUACCAAAAGGCUACAAUUAUGAGAAGACACCUGUUAAAACGAUUUUAAUUUAUACCGGAAUGGGUUCCCCUUGGGAAAGACCUCAACUUGGUCUCGGCCAAUUUUUUGGUUGUCCUGUAAGUCAAUGCAUGUUAACAGUGAACACUUCAUUAGCCCCAAAAGUUGAUGCUGUGCUAUUUAGACAUAUUUUCAUUCGUCCGUCUUAUAAAAGACCACCAAAUCAGGUAUGAAUAUUAAAAAUAUUAUAUUUUUUUUUUUGCUUGAUCAAUUAUAUAAACAAUAAUAAAUUACUCGGUACUCCAACCAUAACUUUGUUUAUGUGAUGAUAUUCUGCACGCCACACAUGUCUUGCCCAUUUUAGUAUUUUGCUUUCCGGAAAUUGGUAAAUAUUUGGUUAAUUUAAUAAGCUUUGUGUAUCGUCAUUAUUCCUUCUGUCGAAAAUUCUUGAAUCUAAAUUAUACACCGUUCCACAUAAUUAUUUUUAAAUUUUCCUUUUAUAGCCCUCACCUAUUAUAUAAGUAAAUGAGGACGAUAUUAAGGGAGAUACCAUGCUACGUUUUAAAAAUUAAAAUUUAUUUUGUUCACAAUUACAGUCAUUUUAAAAUAUCGGAAUUGACGUUAUUUCUGAACGAUGUACUGAGCAUUAUGUUCGGAAUAAUGGCAAAAACGCACAGUAUAUAGUAUACGCGUAAUCAAUUUUAUUUCAANUGGUGUGUAGUAUGUUGUACAUGCACAUUACGUCACUGAUAUACCUGGUAAUUCUUUGAAGUGAGUAGGUACCAUCAUUUACUCGGAAAGUAGUGGAGCUUUAUUAAAAUGCUACACUACUCUCGCCCUACCAAAACUAAAAAAAGGAAUAUCUCAUUUACAGGUUUACAGAAAUCAAAAAUUUUUUACACCAACAUGUAUUUAAGCUAAUACUCCAUCAAUUUAUGAAAUUUAUUAUAUAGAUUGCCAUUUGAAAAUCAAUAGUAGGUUGUCGUUUCAUUCACAAAAAUAAUGAUAAAAAAAAAAUAGAGUAUUGAAAAAAAAUAUAUGUAUAGGUACAAUUGUGGUAGGUUUCAGCUUUUUCGACAUAUUGCUUAAUCAGUUCCUGUAACCAAGUUUUUAUAAACAUCGUAUAUUUUUUUUUUGUUAAAAGCUUUUUAAUAACAUUUCCGAGAACUCGAGAAUAUAUAUUCAAUAUUCAUUCUUAUGGAGAAAUUAAUUUUUUAAAUUUCAAUAUUAUUACAAUGUGAUGUUGUUAUCACUAAUGUCAUUUUGAACGAUUUAAAUAUUAAUAAUGAUAUAACUAUUCACUCAAAUCAUUAUUUUGACUACGUGAAGUAAUUGAUUAUCUUUUUAUAAUGUUAUUAAUUUGUCUUCACAGCUUUUAAUUUUAUAUUCUUAGGUAUAUGCGUUUCACCACCAGAAAUAUAACUUCACGGUAUUUCCAGUUUAUGAGUUAAAUUUAGUAGAAAUUAAGUUCGUGGAUUUUUAAUUUCAGUAUAAAAAUUAUAUAUUAUUAAUUAUAUCAUAAACAUUAAGUAUUACUAAUUAUUGAUCAUACUAUAUAAUUUUUAUUAUAAACACGGAUGCCAUUUUAUUUUAGAUUUGGAUUAUUGAACAUACUGAAGCACCUUAUGCAACAUCGCAUAUAAAUGAUAACGGUGAUUUUAAUUGGACAGUUAACUAUCGUUGGGAUAGUGACAUACCGCGACCUUAUGGGUAUUUUAAAAAAUAUGAACCUGAACAACCCUUGCCAAGUAUUGUUAAAAAUUAUGCAGAAGGUAAAACUAAACAAGUUGCUUGGUUCGUGUCAAAUUGUAAUCCCAAUAAUAAACGUAACGAAUAUGCUGCUGAACUUUCAAAAUAUAUUUCGGUUGAUAUAUAUGGUCUUUGUGGUACUCUACAAUGUCUCAGAUCUAAUGAAGAAGAAUGUUUCAAGAUGUUGAAUGAAGAUUAUAAAUUUUACUUAGCUUUUGAAAACGCAAACUGUGCAUAUUACAUUACGGAAAAAUUUUUCUUAAAUUCACU
Cinara cedri is the source of this 2313-nucleotide non-coding RNA. Lineage: Eukaryota; Metazoa; Arthropoda; Insecta; Hemiptera; Aphididae. The record is from the annotation of a GenBank genome assembly.